GCCUGGGUGGCUCAGUCGGUUGAGCGUCCGACUUCGGCUCAGGUCAUGAUCUCCCGGUUCUCGGGUUCGAGCCCCGCGUCAGGCU
This 85-nucleotide transfer RNA is filed under the name Felis catus (domestic cat). It matches the Rfam family "tRNA". From Rfam's summary of the family: Transfer RNA (tRNA) molecules are approximately 80 nucleotides in length. Their secondary structure includes four short double-helical elements and three loops (D, anti-codon, and T loops). Lineage: Eukaryota; Metazoa; Chordata; Mammalia; Carnivora; Felidae. The record is from Rfam by way of RNAcentral.